RNAcentral lists this ribosomal RNA (321 nucleotides) under uncultured Pseudomonadota bacterium. RNAcentral's name for it is "bacterial SSU rRNA". It matches the Rfam family "Bacterial small subunit ribosomal RNA", at positions 30 to 351 of the family's 1533-position model. The record is from RNAcentral. Lineage: Bacteria; Pseudomonadati; Pseudomonadota.
AUUGAACGCUGGCGGCAUGCCUUACACAUGCAAGUCGAACGGCAGCGCGGACUUCGGUCUGGCGGCGAGUGGCGAACGGGUGAGUAAUGCAUCGGAACGUACCUUUCAGUGGGGGAUAACGUAGCGAAAGUUACGCUAAUACCGCAUAUUCUGUGAGCAGGAAAGCAGGGGAUCGCAAGACCUUGCGCUGAUUGAGCGGCCGAUAUCAGAUUAGCUAGUUGGUGGGGUAAAAGCUCACCAAGGCGACGAUCUGUAGCGGGUCUGAGAGGAUGAUCCGCCACACUGGAACUGAGACACGGUCCAGACUCCUACGGGUGGCAG